This 622-nucleotide ribosomal RNA is filed under the name uncultured bacterium. RNAcentral's name for it is "bacterial SSU rRNA". It matches the Rfam family "Bacterial small subunit ribosomal RNA", at positions 116 to 716 of the family's 1533-position model. The record is from RNAcentral.
CGUAGGUAAUGUACCCCCAGGUGGUGGAUAACCUUCCGAAAGGAGGGCUAAUACAGCAUGAGACCACGACCCCGCGAGGGGAUGAGGUCAAAGCCGGCCUCUUCAUGAAAGCUGGCGCCAGGGGAUCAGCCUGCGGCCCAUCAGCUAGUUGGUAGGGUAAUGGCCUACCAAGGCGAAGACGGGUAGCUGGUCUGAGAGGAUGAUCAGCCACACUGGAACUGAGACACGGUCCAGACUCCUACGGGAGGCAGCAGUGGGGAAUCUUGCGCAAUGGGCGAAAGCCUGACGCAGCGACGCCGCGUGAGUGAUGAAGGCCCUCGGGUUGUAAAGCUCUGUGGAGGGGGACGAAUAAGUGUUGGCUAAUAUCCAGCAUGAUGACGGUACCCCUUUAGCAAGCACCGGCUAACUCUGUGCCAGCAGCCGCGGUAAGACAUGUGGUGCAAACGUUGUUCGGAAUUACUGGGCGUAAAGCGCGUGUAGGCAGCUUGGAAAGUCGGAUGUGAAAGCCCUGGGCUUAACCCAGGAAGUGCACUCGAAACUUCCGAGCUUGAGUUCUGGAGAGGGAAGCGGAAUUCUCGGUGUAGAGGUGAAAUUCGUAGAUAUCGAGAGGAACACCGGUGGC